GAGGGUCAUGGAGCCGACUCUGCUCAGUGAUUUGCUUCCAGGACACACCCGGCCAUUACAGGCAGCCUCUUAAUGUAGAGAAGGCCCUGCAAUUUGAUGUGUAGUGUUUGUAUAAGCCUCCAAAGUCAGGAGAAAUGCAGACAUGUCCAUGCAAAGGCUUAUGAAAAGCAAGUUUACCAUGCAUUGAUUAUCAGCUUAUCUGAAUGCAGUGGAACACCCACACACACACAACUAAAGACUCCACAGAAGCCGAAGAUUCAUUGCAAGACGGUCUCCCAAGAUUCAAGAAAGCUGUCCAUGAUGAGUAGAAAGUUAUCUACAAAUACUUCUCUUCCACUGUAUCCCAAAAAGCUGCCUACCCUGGUUUUUAUACUCUGGAGGCAACAUGGCAAAUGGGGCUAAAACAAAGUACAAACUGCUACUACAAGCAAAUGGAAUAAAGCCUAGCCACCUA
This is a long non-coding RNA of Cavia porcellus (domestic guinea pig), 454 nucleotides long. RefSeq lists it as uncharacterized. Lineage: Eukaryota; Metazoa; Chordata; Mammalia; Rodentia; Caviidae. The transcript is spliced from 2 exons. The record is from RefSeq and is a predicted model, not a curated record.